Molecule: ribosomal RNA, 183 nt
Filed under: Gigasporaceae sp.
Lineage: Eukaryota; Fungi; Glomeromycota; Glomeromycetes; Diversisporales; Gigasporaceae
Description: partial small subunit ribosomal RNA
Rfam family: Eukaryotic small subunit ribosomal RNA
Source: RNAcentral
GUAAUUCCAGCUCCAAUAGCGUAUAUUAAAGUUGUUGCAGUUAAAAAGCUCGUAGUUGAAUUUCGGGGUUCCACCGUUGGUCGGGCCAUUGGCUGGACUGGGGUGUGGAAUUUCCUCCUUCUGGGGAACUAUCAUGUUAUUUAUUUAGGGGGGGGGGAAACCAGGACCUUUACCUUGAAAAAA